UGUUGGCCGUAUUUUCACAUGCUUAUUGGCAGUAAUUGGUGCAUGUUCUACUCUGAAGUGCAGUUUCAAUCCAUAUUCAUUUUUGGUUGGGGUGUUUGCUUCAGGGUAACUGAACUUAAGGUUCUUUAUAUCUUCUUCAUAGAAAGACUUUGUCAGAUAUGUGCAUAGCAAACUUUUCCUAUUACUCUGUGGGCUAUCAUUUUGCUUUCUUACUGGUAGAGUCUUUAGAGAAGCAGGUAUUAAAGACUUUGACCAAUAAAUAGGCUUUGUUGAUUUUUCCAUCCACUGUUCAUGUGUUUUCUUUCCUAAGGACUUCUGCUUUUUACAAGGGCAUAGGGUAGUCUAAGAGACCCCUAAAUACUAUGGGGUAUUGCUCUUGACCUUGUUUGCCUUCCAGAAAAAGAAGGUAAAUCCCUGUUGCUGAAGAUACCACACUUUGGAUGUAAAACUUGGAAGACUCUACCUGCAUUUCAACAGAAAGCCUCCUCCCUGAUGACUACGUAUCUUAGUACUGGAAGGAGCCAUUCAAGCUGCCAAGAUCCUCACAAAUGACCCAGCCCUCCUCCCCAGCCUGUCCUUUUGUGUCAGCUGCCACUACUUGGAAUUACUCUACCUGGGAACCUGCUGCUCACAUCAGCCUGGCAAUCAGAAGGAUCCGAGUGUCCUGCGUGUAUUUCUUGCCGGCCGAGAAAAUACAGAGCGUGCGCGGGACAUAUGGUGCCGAAACCCGGGAAAUUUGUGAACAUCUCCGGCACCGCGGAGACCCCUUGGCUACAGGGCGGAUUCAGAACUGCAGGGUGGUAAAUUCGGAGAGGAUGAAGAGAAUCCCCUGUGGAUCCCAGAAAGACUCAACCUGAAGAGCCUCUUCGGACCUUCAAAAGUCGAAACUCCACCCUCUCCCCGGGAGUUGAGAGCCGCUAUUGUUAUGCAGAUUAACUCCUGUCCUUGGCGGAGAGAAUGCCACUGCUUAAGGGGUGGGGGUGGGAUUGUUUGAUGCAGCCGUUUGCGGAUUGCUGUUAUUUUU
This 1024-nucleotide long non-coding RNA is filed under the name Cricetulus griseus (Chinese hamster). RNAcentral's name for it is "lncRNA (ENSCGRG00015029962.1)". Lineage: Eukaryota; Metazoa; Chordata; Mammalia; Rodentia; Cricetidae. The record is from RNAcentral.